GGAUAAAUGUCCAAAGAUUGUAAAUAUUAACAAUACUGUAAAGAAAAAUAUAUUAUAAUAUUAGGAUAUUUUCUCUCUUUAACAAGAUAAUGUAUAAUUAUACUUGCACGUUGUAUAUCAACAACACUCAAGUCAGAUAUAAUAAUUUAGAUAGUUCGAAGAUAAGAAAUAAUGUAAUUUUAAGAAAUUAUUACGUAUACGACACCUUAGGAUAAAAAUGAAAUAUCUCAAUUUACUCAUGUAACACGAAUUGAAUUUUAAAUGCAUGAUUAUGAUUGGUGUCUAAUUAUUUUAGGUAAAAUACACUUGCGGUUUUAUGAUAGAUAACGAUAGUCGAUAAUUAUCAUUUAAAACAAAUGUAAUUGUAUGUGUUGUCGUAAUAAUUUUGUGGGUUUCAUGAUAUCAGCGGCAUUAUUAUUAGCCGUUCGUCACCCUGUUGCGACGUAUAUCCUGAUAGGACUCUACACACUCUUAGAUCUGUCGGGCUGGCUCUUCCCACUCAUCGUGUAAAAUCUUACCAUGUUCAUAAUAAAAGAAAACAGAGGACAAAAUUAUAAACCUGGUGUGUACAUGUAGAGGAGUCUUAAGAAAGAUAACGACCAUAAAAAACGGUAUGUGUUUAUUUUGAUCAUUAGGGCGACCGGGGCUUAUGCGACGACUCCUUUGCAAUGAUGGGACCAAUUCGCGUACACGGACAUUUUGAUCACCUAAUUUGCUCAGUUCACAUUAAAAACGCUUUAAGAGUCGGUAUUCAUCUGUAGAGUUACCAACAUUAUCACGCGUUUAAUAAUCAAUCAAAUUUAUCAAAAUAAACGCUUAACUUAUCAUAAAUGCUACAUAUUGCAUUCUCAUCUCGUGUUAAAGAUGAUAUUCAUCUACUAAAACAAACAUAAAUUAUUCUGUAUGAUAUUUUUUUCCAACUUAUAAUAUUUUAUAUACUUAGAUGCAAUUUAAAUUUUAAUAUAAAUUUAUUAAUUUACACAAAUUAUUAAUUUAUUAUAUAACUUAAAAUUAUUUAUAUAUAGAUAUAUUUACGACAAUUUUAAAACAUGAUAAAAUUCAUGAUAUAUCAUACCUUCAAUACAUAUCGAUUUGUUUAAUAAAAUGUUUCUUUACCUAAAAUCAUUUAUUCGAAAUACAAAUUGUCAAAGAUAUAUUUAAAUUACUCGUAUAUGGAAGUAUUCAGUCGUUUGGAAUUUUCGCUCUGUAAGUUUUUGAGUUUUGGAAAGUUCCAUUUAAUUGACUGAAACAAUUUCCAAACUACCUACCUAUAUAGUUUUAUUUAAAAAAAAAACGCGUUGAAAUAUCUAUAUAUUAUUAUCAUUAACAUAUUUACUUACUCUUUAAAUGUGAUCAAUGUACCAUGUCAUUCACUAACCUUUCAAACCCCUUUAGUAAUUUUCACCAAAAAAUACAUUACUUUAAACUUUUCUAAAAAAAAAUUUUCUUAAAAAUCUAAAUCACAACUAAUACGUUACGAAAUAAGCAUGUCGUGGUACAAUGAAACAAGACAGAACUUAUCUAAGUUCUUUAUAUGAAUCCUUUGUUUGGAUCAUAUUAUUAUUAUAUUGUUAGAUUUAAAAAGUUAUUUAUGUUAAGAAUUGUUUUUCUUUAUGGAAGAUACCGUAAUUACGCUUCUAAUUGUAUAAAUAAAAUUUAUAACCCAACUGUACGAGAAAAUGAUUUUUAACACGAAGAGAAGAACAUGGCGUGUCAUUUCAUUUUUUUUAUAACUUGUCACUCUAUAAAUGAAAUCAAUUCUGUAGGUACAUUAAAUAUUCAAAGACUUUGGGCAGAAAGCCUCCUUUUUAUGUAAUUUUAAAUGUUAAAUAAAUGUUGAAUAACAUAUCAAAAA
RNAcentral lists this unclassified non-coding RNA (1855 nucleotides) under Melitaea cinxia (Glanville fritillary). Its description in RNAcentral is "misc RNA ENSMCXG00005014594.1". Lineage: Eukaryota; Metazoa; Arthropoda; Insecta; Lepidoptera; Nymphalidae. The record is from RNAcentral.